Molecule: long non-coding RNA, 574 nt
Filed under: Nicotiana benthamiana
Lineage: Eukaryota; Viridiplantae; Streptophyta; Magnoliopsida; Solanales; Solanaceae
Description: long non-coding RNA (NBEN_LNC021706)
Source: RNAcentral
UGUAUAUUACCAAAAGCCAAAAAGUGAAUACAUGGACGAGAGGGACAUAAUGCCUUAUCUCCUUUGGAUCAUAGUCCGAGUUAGGCCUAUUUAGAGAUCUACUAAUUACACAAAAGCUCCUAUAAGUUGAGGCACAUGAGUAGUGAUUACUGAGAAUUUGUGAAUCUACUAAUUACACAAAAACUCCUAUAAGUUGAGGCACAUGAGUAGUGAUUACUGAGAAUUUGUGAAGGGUUGUUUUCCGUUCCACAAUGAUAGAGGAUAUAUAAAAAUAUAGGGCUAAUUAUAUACUUAAUCACCAUGAGAAUUUGUAUUGUCCCUCCUAAGUCUAAUUCUAAAACAUGGGAAUUGUGCUCUAUCAAUAACGGUAAGCUCCCCUUACUUCAGCUGGUAAUUCACAUACCUGAGAGAAAAUUCUAUUAGUAUUAGGAGGCAGGAUCUUCACAAGAAAAUGAAAAUAAUAGUCCCUAAGAUCAAAACCAUCCCAGCAGAAUUGCAGAAAUGUCAAAUGACAGCCCAACAAGGAAUAAUGAAAGAACUAAUGUAUUCGUCAAUUAAGUCAAAAUUGGACUAA